UUAACCGAGUAGAUUACUAAGAUUGCCUCAGUAAGGGCGACUGAAGCGGCAAGAGCCCAAAUUGGAAAUCGGAGCUUGCUCUGAAUUGUAAUCUAAGGGGGCCGGCUUAAUUGGAGACCUCGCAGAAGUGUCCUCGGAAGGACCGCCAGAGAGGGUGACAGCCCCGUACGUGGUGAGGUCUCUUACCUAGCCUGUUUCCAAAGAGUCGGGUUGUUUUGUAUUGCAGCCCUAAUUGGGAGAUAGACUUCUUCUAAGGCUAAAUAAGCGUAGGAAACCGAUAGCGAACAAGUACUGUGAAGGAAAGAUGAAAAGAACUUUGAAAAGAGAGUCAAAAGACUUGAAAUCGUUGAGAAGGAAGCGGUAGAAAUUUAUCUUCAAUUGAUGGCAAUGCGUGUGCCGAACCGUUUACUGUUGUUAGUACCGCAAGGGCUACGGUGGUGAUAUGGGGAAGUGCUAGUUAAGCUGGAGGUUGUGAGGCAGGAUGGGGUCACGUUUCGGCAAAGGCCUUGUGGAGCGCUUGCGUGCCAUGGGUGCCAGUCGGGAUGUGGUCUGAGGAGGCUUUGUGCGAUUCUGCCAAAAUGAUUUUUACCGACUCGUCUUGAAACACGAACCAAGGAGUCUAACGUACAUGCGAGUGUGCUGGUGGAGAAACCAACACGCGUAAUGAAGGUGAUUGAUGCCAAGCUUGCGCAGCAUCGGCCGACCACGAUCCUCUGGUGAGGGGUUUGAGCGAGAGCAUGUCCGUUAGGACCCGAAAGAUGGUGAACUAUGCCUGAGUAGGGUGAAGCCAGAGGAAACUCUGGUGGAAGCUCGUAGCGGUACUGACGUGCAAAUCGUUCGUCGAACUUGGGUAUAGGGGCGAAAGACUAAUCGAACCAUCUAGUAGCUGGUUCCCUCCGAAGUUUCCCUCAGGAUAGCUGGGACAAUAUCGCAGUUUUAUUAGGUAAAGCGAAUGAUUAGAGGCCUCGGGGGCACCUUGCCCUCGACCUAUUCUCAAACUUUAAAUUGGUAAGAACCUCGGCCUAGGCUUAAUUGAGGCUCGAGGGAUCAAUGCGUGUCCUUAGUGGGCCAUUUUUGGUAAGCAGAACUGGCGAUGAGGGAUGCUCCUAACGUCGAGAUAAGGUGCCCAACUGCACGCUCAUCAGAUACCACAAAGGGCGUUGGUUCAUUUAGACAGCUGGACGGUGGCCAUGGAAGUCGGAAUCCGCUAAGGAGUGUGUAACAACUCACCUGCCGAAUGAACUAGCCCCGAAAAUGGAUGGCGCUCCAGCGUGCGACCGAUACUCGACCAUUGUUGCGAGAGUGAGGCAGCAAUGAGUAGGAGGGCGUGAGCGUUGUUGCGAAGCCUUUGACGUGAGUCUGGGUUGAACAGCGUUUAGUGCAGAUCUUGGUGGUAGUAGCAAUUAUUCGAAUGAGAACUUUGAAGGCCGAAGUGGAGAAGGUUUCCGUGAGAACAGCAAUUGGUCACGGGUGACUCGAUCCUAAGACAUGGGGAAGCUCCCUGUUAAGUGUGCCGUCAGGCGCGUGGUCGAAAGGGAAUGAGGUUAAUAUUCCUCAAGCUGGAUGUGGAUUUAUAUGGUAACAUAAACGAGCUCAGAGACGCCAGCGUGAGCCUCUGGAAGAGUUAUCUUUUCUUUUUAACAGGCUAGCAACCUUGAAAUAGGAUUAUCCUGAGAUAAGGUUGUAUGCUUGGAAGAGCACCCCGCUUUCCGGGGUGUCAGGUGCGCUCACGAUGGUCCUUGAAAAUCUGAGUGAGAGGAUGAUUUCACGCCAGGUCGUACCCACAACCGCAUCAGGUCUCCAAGGUUA
Molecule: ribosomal RNA, 1809 nt
Filed under: Epiclintes auricularis auricularis
Lineage: Eukaryota; Ciliophora; Spirotrichea; Stichotrichida; Epiclintidae
Description: LSU rRNA
Rfam family: Eukaryotic large subunit ribosomal RNA
Source: RNAcentral